Non-coding RNA from Xyrichtys novacula (pearly razorfish), 1447 nucleotides. The record is from the annotation of a GenBank genome assembly. NCBI's taxonomy places the organism in Eukaryota, Metazoa, Chordata, Actinopteri, Labriformes, Labridae.
GACAUCUACUUCUACUCAUCACUACAGACAGGCUUGAUUCUCCGAUCAUGUGCAGUCUUGGUUCAGUACAUAAAGUUCAGCUGCCGUUCAGCCAUCAAAACAGCAGCAGAGUGAGACGUCUUCCUUUACCUCAUACCAUUGUCAUUACUCAUCAGCGCCCUCCGGUGGCCAUAAACUGUAACUGCAUAUGGAUUAAUGAAGAUUGUGAUGAGACGCUAAGGAGCAGGAGUCAGAGUGACAUUUCUGCAGCUGUUUGAGGACGAACCGUGAAGAGAGGCUGAUUAUGGCGACGGAAAAACAAAAGAUGGACAAUCGAGAAACAAACUAAACUCUGUCUGAACAAACACAGAAUCUCUUUGAUAGUUUUAGAUGGAGAAGAAGAAGAAGAUGGGUUUUAAAGCGCUUUAUUGUGUCUGGAUCAUCUUCUACUCAGGUAAGAAAGAGAAAUCUCCUUUAAAGGACUGAAUCACUCUAAAGUACCAAACUAAACACUGUUUAGCACUAAUGAGCACUUAGUGAGGUUUAAUAACAGUUUUUAAAGGAAUAAUCGGUAAUUCAGUGAUUUCAUAAAAAAACUGGAGCUUAAUAUUAUUUUUUACAGCAUUAAAAAGGAGUUUAAGUCUUUUACUGAUCAGAAAACUGUCAAUAUUGUCAGUCUAAGACACAUUAUUACAAAGACUGUAAAGUAAAAUACAUGAUUAAUAUUUAUUUAAACAUAAAAUAAAAAAAUGACUCCACAUUUUAGUUAUUUCAAAUCACAAAAAAUGUUAAUUAGUGUUGCAUUUUACUGCAUGUUAAUGCUGUUUAUUGUAUCAUCACCAUUAUAGUUAUAGUUAGACUGGAUGGAGCACAACAUUUUACUAGUCGACCAACUUCUUAACGACCAUGGCUUUUUACUUUCUUAUGAAGAAUUUAUGUUAAAAUUUCAACUCCUGGUCACCCCAAAACAAUAUGCAGUGGUUUUUGAUGCAUUACCUCAGGGGGUGCUACAACUUCUUAAAGGGUCUGAAAGAACGGCUGCUACUCCAGGAAAUUACACCUGUGAUAUAUUUGUGGGCGGAAUAGACAUUACAAAAAGAGCCUGCUCGAAUAGACUGUUGAGAAGCUGCCUACAACCAAAGACACUGCCUAGAGGUCAAACUAACUGGUCUGUACAACUGGGAGAAAUUAACUGGAGUAAUGCAUGGCUGGUUGGUGAAAAAUUCUGUCUCAAUAACAAGGUCAAAGAAGUCUCUUUUAAAAUAUUACAUCAGAUUUACCCUGCAAAGAAAACUCUUGGAAGAUUCAAACUGGACAUUGAAUAUUUAUGUGAUUUCUGUGGACUUGAAGAUGAAACCAUCUCUCAUUUAUUCUAUCAUUGUACCUACAGUAAAACCUUUUGGAUUGAUGUCCAACAAUUUGUGCACGAGAAAACAGGAGGAACGAUCAGUUUCCAGGAAAAACAUAU